AGAUUGAACGCUGGCGGCAUGCCUUACACAUGCAAGUCGAACGGCAGCACGGGAGCAAUCCUGGUGGCGAGUGGCGAACGGGUGAGUAAUAUAUCGGAACGUGCCCAGUCGUGGGGGAUAACGCAGCGAAAGCUGUGCUAAUACCGCAUACGAUCUAUGGAUGAAAGCGGGGGAUCGCAAGACCUCGCGCGAUUGGAGCGGCCGAUAUCAGAUUAGCUAGUGUGGGUAAAGCCUACAAGGCGACGAUCUGUAGCUGGUCUGAGAGGACGACCAGCCACACUGGAACUGAGACACGGGUCCAGACUCCGUACGGGAGGCAGCAGUGGGGAAUUUGGACAAGUGGGGAACCCUGAUCCAGCCAUCCCGCGUGUGCGAUGGAAGGCCGUUCGGUUGUAAGACUACGUUUGGUACGAGGGAAGAACGGCGUACGUACGUUAAGUACG
RNAcentral lists this ribosomal RNA (443 nucleotides) under uncultured soil bacterium. Its description in RNAcentral is "bacterial SSU rRNA". It matches the Rfam family "Bacterial small subunit ribosomal RNA", at positions 26 to 474 of the family's 1533-position model. The record is from RNAcentral.